Molecule: ribosomal RNA, 901 nt
Filed under: Colletotrichum salicis
Lineage: Eukaryota; Fungi; Ascomycota; Sordariomycetes; Glomerellales; Glomerellaceae
Description: LSU rRNA
Rfam family: Eukaryotic large subunit ribosomal RNA
Source: RNAcentral
GCAUAUCAAUAAGCGGAGGAAAGAAACCAACAGGGAUUGCCCAGUAACGGCGAGUGAAGCGGCAACAGCUCAAAUUUGAAAUCUGGCCCCAGGCCCGAGUUGUAAUUUGCAGAGGAUGCUUUUGGCGCGGUGCCUUCCGAGUUCCCUGGAACGGGACGCCAUAGAGGGUGAGAGCCCCGUACGGUUGGACACCAAGCCUUUGUAAAGCUCCUUCGACGAGUCGAGUAGUUUGGGAAUGCUGCUCUAAAUGGGAGGUACAUUUCUUCUAAAGCUAAAUAUUGGCCAGAGACCGAUAGCGCACAAGUAGAGUGAUCGAAAGAUGAAAAGCACUUUGAAAAGAGGGUUAAACAGCACGUGAAAUUGUUAAAAGGGAAGCGCUUGUGACCAGACUUGCGUCCGGUGAAUCACCCAGCUCUCGCGGCUGGGGCACUUCGCCGGCACAGGCCAGCAUCAGCUUGCCGUCGGGGACAAAAGCUUCAGGAACGUGGCUCCUCUCGGGGAGUGUUAUAGCCUGUUGCACAAUACCCUUCGGCGGGCUGAGGUACGCGCUCCGCAAGGAUGCUGGCGUAAUGGUCAUCAGCGACCCGUCUUGAAACACGGACCAAGGAGUCAACCUUAUGUGCGAGUGUUUGGGUGUUAAACCCCUACGCGUAAUGAAAGUGAACGCAGGUGAGAGCUUCGGCGCAUCAUCGACCGAUCCUGAUGUUCUCGGAUGGAUUUGAGUAAGAGCAUAUAGGGGUUGGACCCGAAAGAAGGUGAACUAUGCGUGUGUAGGGUGAAGCCAGAGGAAACUCUGGUGGAGGCUCGCAGCGGUUCUGACGUGCAAAUCGAUCGUCAAACAUGCUCCUGGGGGCGAAAAACUUAUCGAACCUUCUAGUAGAUGGUUUCCGCCGAAGUUCCC